RNAcentral lists this ribosomal RNA (422 nucleotides) under uncultured eukaryotic phytoplankton. RNAcentral's name for it is "bacterial SSU rRNA". It matches the Rfam family "Bacterial small subunit ribosomal RNA", at positions 358 to 795 of the family's 1533-position model. The record is from RNAcentral.
GGAAUUUUCCGCAAUGGGCGAAAGUCUGACGGAGCGACGCUGCGUGAAGGAUGACGGCCUGCGGGUUGUAAACUUCUUUUCUCGAAGAAGAAGCUCUGACGGUAUUCGAGGAAUAAGCAUCGGCUAACUCUGUGCCAGCAGCCGCGGUAAUACAGAGGAUGCAAGCGUUAUCCGGAAUCACUGGGCAUAAAGCGUCUGUAGGUGGUUUGAUAAGUCUGCUGUUAAAGACUAGGGCUUAACCCUAGGACAGCAGUGGAAACUGUUAGACUUGAGUGUGGUAGAGGUAGAGGGAAUUCCUAGUGUAGCGGUGAAAUGCGUAGAUAUUAGGAAGAACACCAAUGGCGAAAGCACUCUACUGGGCCAUAACUGACACUGAGAGACGACAGCUAGGGGAGCAAAUGGGAUUAGAUACCCCAGUAGCC